GGAUUAAGAUGGGCAUGCGUGUCAUUAGCUAGUUGGCGGGGUAACGGCCCACCAAGGCGACGAUGACUAGGGGAUCUGAGAGGAUGACCCCCCACACUGGUACUGAGACACGGACCAGACUCCUACGGGAGGCAGCAGUAAGGAAUAUUGGUCAAUGGAGGCAACUCUGAACCAGCCAUGCCGCGUGCAGGAAGACAGCCCUCUGGGUCGUAAACUGCUUUUAUUCGGGAAUAAACCACAUUACGUGUAAUGUGCUGAAUGUACCGAAGGAAUAAGGAUCGGCUAACUCCGUGCCAGCAGCCGCGGUAAUACGGAGGAUCCAAGCGUUAUCCGGAUUUAUUGGGUUUAAAGGGUGCGUAGGCGGCUUAUUAAGUCAGGGGUGAAAGACGGUGGCUCAACCAUCGCAGUGCCUUUGAUACUGAUGAGCUUGAAUACACUAGAGGUAGGCGGAAUGUGACAAGUAGCGGUGAAAUGCAUAGAUAUGUCACAGAACACCGAUUGCGAAGGCAGCUUACUAUGGUGUGAUUGACGCUGAGGCACGAAAGCGUGGGGAUCAAACAGGAUUAGAUACCCUGGUAGUCCACGCCCUAAACGAUGAAUACUCGCUGUUAGCGAUAUACAGUUAGCGGCUAAGCGAAAGCGUUAAGUAUUCCACCUGGGGAGUACGCCCGCAAGGGUGAAACUCAAAGGAAUUGACGGGGGCCCGCACAAGCGGAGGAGCAUGUGGUUUAAUUCGAUGAUACGCGAGGAACCUUACCCGGGCUUGAAAGUUAGUGAAUCAUUUAGAGAUAGAUGAGUCCGCAAGGACACGAAACUAGGUGCUGCAUGGCUGUCGUCAGCUCGUGCCGUGAGGUGUUGGGUUAAGUCCCGCAACGAGCGCAACCCCUAUGUUUAGUUGCCAGCACGUUAUGGUGGGGACUCUAAACAGACUGCCUGUGCAAACAGAGAGGAAGGAGGGGACGACGUCAAGUCAUCAUGGCCCUUACGUCCGGGGCUACACACGUGCUACAAUGGAUGGUACAGAGGGCAGCAAGCUGGCAACAGCAAGCGAAUCUCAAAAAGCCAUUCACAGUUCGGAUAGAGGUCUGCAACUCGACCUCUUGAAGUUGGAUUCGCUAGUAAUCGCGUAUCAGCAAUGACGCGGUGAAUACGUUCCCGGGCCUUGUACACACCGCCCGUCAAGCCAUGGAAGUUGGGGGUACCUAAAGUAUGUAACCGCAAGGAGCGUCCUAGGGUAAAACCGAUAACUGGGGCUAAGUCGUAACAAGGUA
This 1271-nucleotide ribosomal RNA is filed under the name metagenome. RNAcentral's name for it is "bacterial SSU rRNA". It matches the Rfam family "Bacterial small subunit ribosomal RNA", at positions 217 to 1498 of the family's 1533-position model. The record is from RNAcentral.